RNAcentral lists this ribosomal RNA (224 nucleotides) under uncultured bacterium. Its description in RNAcentral is "partial 16S ribosomal RNA". It matches the Rfam family "Bacterial small subunit ribosomal RNA", at positions 116 to 334 of the family's 1533-position model. The record is from RNAcentral.
CGUGGGUAAUCUGCCCAAGACACAGGAAUAACCGGUGGAAACGCCGGCUAAUGCCUGAUGAUGUGCCGGCCUUUCGGGGCUUGUACCAAAGGUAGCUUCGGCCUCCGGUCUUGGAUGAGCCCGCGUCCCAUUAGCUUGUUGGUGAGGUAACGGCUCACCAAGGCGACGAUGGGUAGCUGGUCUGAGAGGACGAUCAGCCACACUGGGACUGAGACACGGCCCAG